UACGAAGGGGGCUAGCGUUGCUCGGAAUCACUGGGCGUAAAGCGCACGUAGGCGGGUCGUUAAGUCGGGGGUGAAAUCCUGGAGCUCAACUCCAGAACUGCCUUUGAUACUGGAGAGCUUGAGUCCGGAAGAGGUGAGUGGAACUCCGAGUGUAGAGGUGAAAUUCGUAGAUAUUCGGAAGAACACCAGUGGCGAAGGCGGCUCACUGGUCCGGUACUGACGCUGAGGUGCGAAAGCGUGGGGAGCGAACAGG
This 253-nucleotide ribosomal RNA is filed under the name uncultured bacterium. Its description in RNAcentral is "partial 16S ribosomal RNA". It matches the Rfam family "Bacterial small subunit ribosomal RNA", at positions 524 to 776 of the family's 1533-position model. The record is from RNAcentral.